ACGGGGUGCAGCAGGCGCGAAAACUUUACAAUGCGGGCAACCGCGAUAAGGGGACCUCGAGUGCCGACAUCAAAUGUCGGCUGUCGUGAUGCCUAAAAAGCAUUACAUAGCAAGGGCCGGGCAAGACCGGCGCCAGCCGCCGCGGUAACACCGGCGGCUCGAGUGGUGACCGCUAUUAUUGGGUUUAAAGGGUCUGUAGCCGGCCGGAUAAGUCUCUUGGGAAAUCUGGCCGCUCAACGGUCAGGCUUUCAGGAGAUACUGUCUGGCUCGAGGCCGGGAGAGGUGAGAGGUACUUCAGGGGUAGGGGUGAAAUCUUGUAAUCCUUGAAGGACCACCAGUGGCGAAGGCGUCUCACCAGAACGGACCUGACGGCAAGGGACGAAAGCUAGGGGCACGAACCGGAUUAGAUACCCGGGUAGUCCUAGCCGUAAACGAUACUCGCUAGGUGUCGGCCACGGUGCGACCGUGGUCGGUGCCGCAGGGAAACCGUGAAGCGAGCCACCUGGGAAGUACGGCCGCAAGGCUGAAACUUAAAGGAAUUGGCGGGGGAGCACA
RNAcentral lists this ribosomal RNA (555 nucleotides) under uncultured archaeon. Its description in RNAcentral is "bacterial SSU rRNA". It matches the Rfam family "Archaeal small subunit ribosomal RNA", at positions 325 to 880 of the family's 1478-position model. The record is from RNAcentral.